AGAGUUUGAUCCUGGCUCAGAACGAGCGCUGGCGGCAGGCCUAACACAUGCAAGUCGAGCGCACCUUCGGGUGAGCGGCGGACGGGUUAGUAACGCGUGGGAAUAUACCCAAAGGUACGGAAUAGCCUCGGGAAACUGAGAGUAAUACCGUAUGUGCCCUUCGGGGGAAAGAUUUAUCGCCUUUGGAUUAGCCCGCGUUGGAUUAGAUAGUUGGUGGGGUAAUGGCCUACCAAGUCUACGAUCCAUAGCUGGUUUGAGAGGAUGAUCAGCAACACUGGGACUGAGACACGGCCCAGACUCCUACGGGAGGCAGCAGUGGGGAAUCUUAGACAAUGGGCGAAAGCCUGAUCUAGCCAUGCCGCGUGAGUGACGAAGGCCUUAGGGUCGUAAAGCUCUUUCGCCAGGGAUGAUAAUGACAGUACCUGGUAAAGAAACCCCGGCUAACUCCGUGCCAGCAGCCGCGGUAAU
This 468-nucleotide ribosomal RNA is filed under the name uncultured Alphaproteobacteria bacterium. RNAcentral's name for it is "bacterial SSU rRNA". It matches the Rfam family "Bacterial small subunit ribosomal RNA", at positions 8 to 524 of the family's 1533-position model. Lineage: Bacteria; Pseudomonadati; Pseudomonadota; Alphaproteobacteria. The record is from RNAcentral.